Molecule: ribosomal RNA, 218 nt
Filed under: uncultured bacterium
Lineage: Bacteria
Description: partial 16S ribosomal RNA
Rfam family: Bacterial small subunit ribosomal RNA
Source: RNAcentral
UACGUAGGGUGCAAGCGUUGUCCGGAAUUAUUGGGCGUAAAGAGCUCGUAGGCGGUCUGUCACGUCGGCUGUAGCAAAGUCCCGAACGGCGUCAACCUCGGGUCUGCAGUACGAUACGGGUAACGUAGAGUGAAUUCGCAGGGGAGACUGGAAAUUCCUGGUGUAGCGGUGAAAUGCGCCAGAGUAUCAAGGGAGGGAACACCGGUGGGCGAAGGCGG